CAGGACCAUCCCAACGCCCGCCAUGGAGGUCUUGAACACUAACGCUGCUUCUUCAGCUGUCUUCCUUUCAAGCAACCGGAACAAUUACAACCAAUGCGCAGGGUGAGCUUUAGCACCACUGGAGCGAAGAGAUGAGGAGCUGUUCGACUGGCGUGGGGCAGCGAAAAGAUCGCAUCUCAACAUUGCUGCUCAACCAGAUGGAAGCCAUCCCACUUAACGGCAGGACAAGAGAAUCAUUUGACAAUAUAAUAUAUUUAAUUGUAUCAUGUCAUUCAUCUGACUUCUUGACUUCUUGGUCUUGGAUCGUAGUAUAGAGCAUGGAUUUUGUUGUCUUGGAUCGUAGUAUAGAUCAUGGUAUAUGGCUCUUUGGAUUGUAGUAUAGAAUGGUGUUUGUUGUAUUGGUUCUCGUGUAUUAGUUUUUACAUUUUGGUUGGAUUUUGCAGGGUUUUUUGCUUAUAUUUUGUGUUGGGUGUAGAAAAAAAAAUCUAAUCUCUUCCUUAUUUUCUUGACAUCAAAACCAUCUGCGUACUCUUGCAUCAUACAUCAUUUCAUAGAGAGCAAAACUGUAAAAUUUAUUACUGUUCAGAAUGUUAAGCAUUUUUCCAAUCCAUUCAGUACUUCCUAUUCAUUUUAAAUAUGUAGUGAAAUCAUCCUAUUGUCUCUUAUGGAUUCAGUCCCUCACUGUUGUCAACCUAUGGACCUUUCAGGUAUUUAGUAUUAAGAAUUUUUUACAAUGACCUUUUCAAAUUAGUCUGUCUUCAAAAUUGAGGGCUGUGUUUUGCCGAUAAAAUGUGAAGGAAGUUUAUAAUAUAUUUCCAUGGAAUUUUGAAGAGUUCAAAUUUAUUUAAUGGCAUAAAAGUUCAGACUAUCCUAAAUCUUCUAUGUAAACCCCCAUCAGGGUGUCGAGCACAUUUACCAGAGUUGAGCAUAUGCACCUUGAAUGAACUCGAUACUACCAUUUUCUGGACAUCUAUAUCAACGUUACUGUGCUCACUUGUAUCAUACAUCAUUAAGACCAAAGAGAAAAACUGUAGAUGGUAUUCGAGUUACUACGUAUUUUUUACUGAUAACCCAUAGUUCUAAAUGUACUUAUUCCUUAUUUUUACUAAAACUGACUUCAUCUAUUGUGCUACAUACAAAAGAUCGAAAUAAAUAAUCUAAUCUAAUCUAAUCUAAUCUAAUCUAAUCAUAUGCUUGUAAAUUGUUUCAUUGGUAUUGGCUGUUCAGCAAUUCUCAAAUGAAUUGAUUACUUCCUAUUUAGCAAUCUGUGCAAAUUGUUCGACCAUUUAUUAAGUUUCAUAUUACUCUAGUUCAUGUUCUGAAACUGAAAUUAACCAUACUGUUAAAGUACUGUCUCGUGUGGAAUUGUGUGCUCCUCGUUAACAUGUCAGCUAAUUUUUGAUAUUUUGCAUUUGAGGCAAGGAACUCAACAAACUAGUUGGUACUGAAAUGUAUGUAUCCUAUUAUUGUGUCUUGGAAAUAUAAUUUAUUGGAAAUGC
Molecule: long non-coding RNA, 1499 nt
Organism: Frankliniella occidentalis (western flower thrips)
Lineage: Eukaryota; Metazoa; Arthropoda; Insecta; Thysanoptera; Thripidae
Exons: 3
Source: RefSeq, a predicted model, not a curated record